Molecule: ribosomal RNA, 483 nt
Filed under: uncultured bacterium
Lineage: Bacteria
Description: partial 16S ribosomal RNA
Rfam family: Bacterial small subunit ribosomal RNA
Source: RNAcentral
AUUGAACGCUGGCGGCAUGCCUAACACAUGCAAGUCGAGCGGAUAAAGGGAGCUGGCUCCUGGCUUCUGCGGCGGACGGGUGAGUUAUACCGAGGAAUCUGCCUGGGAGGGGGGGAUAACGUCCGAAGCUGGCGCUAUAACCCCAUACGUCCUGAGGGAAAAAGGGGGGGAUCUCCGGCCCUGCCCCUAUCAGACGAGCCUAGGUCGGAUUAGCUAGUUGGUGGGGUAAAGGCUUACCAAGGCGACGAUCCGUAACUGGUCUGAGAGGAUGAUCAGUCACACUGGAACUGAGACACGGUCCAGACUCCUACGGGAGGCAGCAGUGGGGAAUAUUGGACAAUGGGCGAAAGCCUGAUCCAGCCAUGCCGCGUGUGUGAAGAAGGUCUUCGGAUUGUAAAGCGCUUUUAGUUGGGAGGAAGAGCAGUAAGUUAAUACCGUGCUGUUUUGACGUUACCGAAAGAAUAAGCACCGGCUAACUACGUG